CUGGUUGAUCCUGCCAGUAGUCAUAUGCUUGUCUCAAAGAUUAAGCCAUGCAUGUCUCAGUACAAGCCGUCCUGUACGGUGAAACCGCGAAAGGCUCAUUAAAUCAGUUAUGGUUCCUUAGAUCGUACCCACGUUACAUGGAUAACUGUGGUAAUUCUAGAGCUAAUACAUGCCGACAGAGCUCCGACCAGCGUAUCGUCGUUUCGGCGGCCGUUCGGAAGGAGCGCUCUUAUUAGAUCAAAACCG
Molecule: ribosomal RNA, 246 nt
Filed under: Saissetia miranda
Lineage: Eukaryota; Metazoa; Arthropoda; Insecta; Hemiptera; Coccidae
Description: partial small subunit ribosomal RNA
Rfam family: Eukaryotic small subunit ribosomal RNA
Source: RNAcentral